RNAcentral lists this ribosomal RNA (840 nucleotides) under uncultured archaeon. Its description in RNAcentral is "partial 16S ribosomal RNA". The record is from RNAcentral.
UUUUACGCUCCACCCGUUGUGGUGCUCCCCCGCCAAUUCCUUUAAGUUUCAGCCUUGCGGCCGUACUUCCCAGGUGGCUCGCUUCACGGCUUCCCUACGGCACCGACAACGGUCGCACCGUGGCCGACACCUAGCGAGUAUCGUUUACGGCUAGGACUACCCGGGUAUCUAAUCCGGUUCGUGCCCCUAGCUUUCGUCCCUUGCCGUCAGGUCCGUUCUGGUGAGACGCCUUCGCCACUGGUGGUCCUUCAAGGAUUACAAGAUUUCACCCCUACCCCUGAAGUACCUCUCACCUCUCCCGGCCUCGAGCCGAACAGUAUCUCCUGAAAGCCCAACAGUUGAGCUGCUGGAUUUCUCAAGAGACUUAUCCGGCCGGCUACAGACCCUUUAGACCCAAUAAUAACGGUUACCACUCGAGCCGCCGGUGUUACCGCGGCGGCUGGCACCGGUCUUGCCCGGCCCUUGCUAUGCAAUGCUUUUUAGGCAUCACGACAGCCAGAUUUGUAACCUGGCACUCGAGGUCCCCUUAUCGCCGUUGCCGGCAUUGUAAAGUUUUCGCGCCUGCUGCACCCCGUAGGGCCUGGAUUCGUGUCUCAGAAUCCAUCUCCGGGCUCUUGCUCUCACAACCCGUACCCGUCGUAGGCUAGUAGGUACGCUACACCCACUACUACCUGAUAGGCCGCAGACCCAUCCUCUGGCGCCGGAGCUUUCGAUCUCGGGGCAUUCCAGCGACCGAGAUCUAUCGGGGAUUAUACCCAGUUUCCCGGGUUUAUACCCGUCCGGAGGGUAGGUUGUCCACGUGUUACUGAGCAGUACGCCAUGUAUUGCUACAUUCGACUC